RNAcentral lists this transfer RNA (68 nucleotides) under Marmota marmota marmota (Alpine marmot). It matches the Rfam family "tRNA". Rfam says of the family: Transfer RNA (tRNA) molecules are approximately 80 nucleotides in length. Their secondary structure includes four short double-helical elements and three loops (D, anti-codon, and T loops). Further hydrogen bonds mediate the characteristic L-shaped molecular structure. tRNAs have two regions of fundamental functional importance: the anti-codon, which is responsible for specific mRNA codon recognition, and the 3' end, to which the tRNAs corresponding amino acid is attached (by aminoacyl-tRNA synthetases). tRNAs cope with the degeneracy of the genetic code in two manners: having more than one tRNA (with a specific anti-codon) for a particular amino acid; and 'wobble' base-pairing, i.e. permitting non-standard base-pairing at the 3rd anti-codon position. Lineage: Eukaryota; Metazoa; Chordata; Mammalia; Rodentia; Sciuridae. The record is from Rfam by way of RNAcentral. RNAcentral also lists the same sequence under 1 other name.
GUUGUUGCUCAGUGGUAGAGGACUUGUCUAGCAUACAUGAGGCACUGGGUUCAAUCCCCGGAACCACA